Molecule: ribosomal RNA, 760 nt
Filed under: Chloropicon maureeniae
Lineage: Eukaryota; Viridiplantae; Chlorophyta; Chloropicophyceae; Chloropicales; Chloropicaceae
Description: bacterial SSU rRNA
Rfam family: Bacterial small subunit ribosomal RNA
Source: RNAcentral
AAGCGUUAUUCGGAAUUAUUGGGCGUAAAGCGUCUGUAGGUGGUGGAAAAAGUGUAAUGUUAAAGAUCACGGCUCAACCGUGAGAAAGCAUUGCAAACUAAUUCACUUGAGUUCGGUAGGGGCAGAGAGAAUUCCCAGUGUAGCGGUGAAAUGCGUAGAUAUUGGGAGGAAGACCAGUGGCGAAGGCGUUCUGCUGGGCCGACACUGACACUGAGAGACGAAAGCUAAGGUAGCAAAUAGGAUUAGAUACCCUAGUAGUCUUAGCUGUAAAUGGUGCGCACUAUGUUUUGCAUUGCAGAGCAAAAGCUAACGCGUUAAGUGCGCCGCCUGGGGAGUACACUCGCAAGGGUGAAACUCAAAGGAAUUGACGGGGACCCGCACAAGCGGUGGAGCAUGUGGUUUAAUUCGAUGCUACGCGAAGAACCUUACCAAGGCUUGACAUGCUGCGAACGUUUAUGAAAGUAAAAAGUCCAUUAACUUUAAGUUAAUGGCGCAGACACAGGUGGUGCAUGGUUGUCGUCAGCUCGUGCCGUGAGGUGUUGGGUUAAGUCCCGCAACGAGCGCAACCCUUGUCUUUAGUUAUUUAUCUAAAGAGACUGCCGAUGAUAAAUCGGAGGAAGGUGAGGAUGACGUCAAAUCAGCAUGCCCCUUACGCCUUGGGCGACUCACGUGCUACAAUGGUUGAGACAAAGAGAUGCUACCCUGCGAAGGCAAGCUAACCUCAUAAACUCAGCCUCAGUUCGGAUUGCAGGCUGCACCG